This 458-nucleotide long non-coding RNA is filed under the name Capsella rubella. RNAcentral's name for it is "long non-coding RNA (CRUB_LNC001213)". The record is from RNAcentral. Lineage: Eukaryota; Viridiplantae; Streptophyta; Magnoliopsida; Brassicales; Brassicaceae.
CUCCUUUUCCUUGAGAUUCCAAAUUUCCAAUUCAAGAAAAUUUGUGCUCUGCGAAUCCUACAAGCAAGAGAUGGCAUCGUUUUGCAGAUCAGCGUUAAUGGCAGGUUCCAGAAACUUAGCAUCAAGAUCCAAAACCGUAACUCAAAAGUCCCUUAACCUUAAACCCACAGCGACUUCAGCUCCUUUCGCUUCAAUGUCUCAGUCCAUCCCUCGCGCUUCAAGGUUCGCACUCUUUUUUUUACCUUUUUCAAAGAAAUUUCACUCAUUUUCCUUGUCUUUAAUUUGUACAUGUUUGUGAACUGUUCGAGUAUGCCUAGUGUUUUAAUCAGAAACCUUUUUCCAUACAAUUCCAAGGGUUCUCUCGGCUUUGGGAAGUGUUGAAACGAUGAUGCCGCUUCACAGUGCUGUUGCUUCAGCUCGGCUCAGGUCAAGCAUCGCUGCUGAUUCCUCUUGCUGGA